Molecule: long non-coding RNA, 224 nt
Filed under: Gossypium raimondii (Peruvian cotton)
Lineage: Eukaryota; Viridiplantae; Streptophyta; Magnoliopsida; Malvales; Malvaceae
Description: long non-coding RNA (GRAI_LNC007812)
Source: RNAcentral
UUAAUUUAAAUUUUAGAUUUUUUUUUUUACUUUGUUUUCGAGACAUUAAAUUUUUUGUCCUUUUUUAUUUAAAAAAUUUGGUUUUUUCAUCUAAUUUUAUCCUUAAAAUCACUGUUUCUAAAAACGGGUCGGUGACCGAAUUGGUUAGGCUAUUGAUUCGUCGGUUCGAUUGGCCCAAUUAAUUUGAUUAAAAAAUUAUUAAAAAUUAAAAAAAAACUCGAUUU